This 71-nucleotide transfer RNA is filed under the name bovine gut metagenome. It matches the Rfam family "tRNA". From Rfam's summary of the family: Transfer RNA (tRNA) molecules are approximately 80 nucleotides in length. The record is from RNAcentral.
GGGAUGUAGCUUAGCUGGGAAAGCGUUGGCUUCGCAAGUCAAAGACCGCGGGUUCGAAUCCCGUCAUCUCC